Molecule: small RNA, 130 nt
Filed under: bovine gut metagenome
Description: Ribosomal protein L10 leader
Rfam family: Ribosomal protein L10 leader
About the family: This family is a putative r-protein leader autoregulatory structure found in B. subtilis and other low-GC Gram-positive bacteria.
Source: RNAcentral
UUAAAAAACCAUGCCGAAGACAGCAGGCGCGAGAGCGUAAAUUUUAUUUAUAAAAUGCCUGCCGAGGAAAAGUGAUUUAUCAGAUCUUAAUUUUCCCUUCGGAUGUUAUGUCCGAAGGGUUUUUUGAUAA